UACGUAGGGUGCAAACGUUGUCCGGAUUUAUUGGGCGUAAAGAGCGUGUAGGCGGUCAGGUAGGUCCGUUGUGAAAACUCGAGGCUCAACCUCGAGACGCCGAUGGAAACCAUCUGACUAGAGUCCGGAAGAGGAGAGUGGAAUUCCUGGUGUAGCGGUGAAAUGCGCAGAUAUCAGGAAGAACACCGGUGGCGAAGGCGGCUCACUGGCUCAUAUCUGACGCUCAGGCGCGACAGCGUGGGGAUCAAACAGG
Molecule: ribosomal RNA, 253 nt
Filed under: uncultured bacterium
Lineage: Bacteria
Description: partial 16S ribosomal RNA
Rfam family: Bacterial small subunit ribosomal RNA
Source: RNAcentral